CGGUAAUUCCAGCUCCAAUAGCGUAUACUAAUGCUGUUGCAGUUAAAAAGCUCGUAGUCGGAUUUCAGUAGGAACAGGAAGUUCUCUUUGUAACGGACUGUUCUUACUUCUUUGACAUAAACUCUUAUGUUAUUCAUUUAGCGUGAGUUGCGACUGUCUCUUUUACUUUGAGAAAAUUAGAGUGUUCAAAGCAGGUAUCCGCCUGAAUAUUACUCUUGGAAUAAUGCUAUAAGACUUUGGUUCUAAUGUAUUGGUGAUUGGGACCAGAGUAAUGAUUGAUAGGGACGGUUGGGGUCUCACGUACUGCAAAGCGAGAGGUGAAAUUCUUGGACUUUGUAUGACGAACAACUGCGAAAGCAUUUGACUAGGACGUUCCCGUUGAUCAAGAACGAAAGUUGGGGGAUCGAAGACGAUCAGAUACCGUCGUAGUCUCAACCAUAAACUAUGCCAGCUAGGGAUCGGAGGAAGUUACAAAUUCGACUCCUUCGGCACCUUAUGAGAAAUCAAAGCAUUUGGGUUCCGGGGGGAGUAUGGUCGCAAGGCUGAAACUUAAAGGAAUUGACGGGAGGGCACCACCAGGAGUGGAGCCUGUGGCUUAAUUUGACUCAACACGGGGAAACUUACCAGGUCCGGACAUAGUAAGGAUUGACAGAUUGAGAGCUCUUUCUUGAUUCUAUGGGUGGUGGUGCAUGGCCGUUCUUAGUUGGUGGAGUGAUUUGUCUGGUUAAUUCCGUUAACGAACGAGACCUCAGCCUGCUAAAUAGUUGGACUUUCUUUUGAAGGUGUCAACUUCUUAGAGGGACUACUUGCGAAACAACCAAGCGGAAGCUUGAGGCAAUAACAGGUCUGUGAUGCCCUUAGAUGUUCUGGGCCGCACAUGGGCUACACUGGUGCAUUCAACAAGCACAAUCACCUUAGCCGAAAGGUUUGGGUAAUCUUUGAAAUUGCACCGUGCUUGGGAUAGACUAUUGCAAUUUUUAGUCUUCAACGAGGAAUUCCUAGUAAACGCAAGUCAUCAGCUUGCAUUGAUUACGUCCCUGCCCUUUGUACACACCGCCCGUCGCUCCUACCGAUUGGAUGAUUCGGUAAGCUUUUGAGAUUGAAUGGUCUCGCCAUGUGCUACGCCAUUCGCGAACUUAAUCAAACCUAAUCAUCUAGAGGAAGGAGAAGUCGUAACAAGGUAGCCG
RNAcentral lists this ribosomal RNA (1187 nucleotides) under uncultured Rhizaria. Its description in RNAcentral is "SSU rRNA". It matches the Rfam family "Eukaryotic small subunit ribosomal RNA", at positions 577 to 1805 of the family's 1831-position model. The record is from RNAcentral.